This 520-nucleotide unclassified non-coding RNA is filed under the name uncultured Glomus. Its description in RNAcentral is "SSU rRNA". It matches the Rfam family "Eukaryotic small subunit ribosomal RNA", at positions 569 to 1091 of the family's 1831-position model. Lineage: Eukaryota; Fungi; Glomeromycota; Glomeromycetes; Glomerales; Glomeraceae. The record is from RNAcentral.
AGCAGCCGCGGUAAUUCCAGCUCCAAUAGCGUAUAUUAAAGUUGCUGCAGUUAAAAAGCUCGUAGUUGAAUUUCGGGAUCAAUAUGUUGGUCGUGCCUUGGUACGUACUGGCGUCAUUGGUUUCUACCUUCUGAAGAACCUCGAUGUCAUUAAUUUGGUGUCUUGGGGAAUCAGGACUGUUACUUUGAAAAAAUUAGAGUGUUUAAAGCAAGCUCACGCUUGAAUACAUUAGCAUGGAAUAAUGAAAUAGGACGUUUGAUUCUAUUUUGUUGGUUUCUAGGAUCGACGUAAUGAUUAAUAGGGAUAGUUGGGGGCAUUAGUAUUCAAUUGUCAGAGGUGAAAUUCUUGGAUUUAUUGAAGACUAACUACUGCGAAAGCAUUUGCCAAGGAUGUUUUCAUUAAUCAAGAACGAAAGUUAGGGGAUCGAAGACGAUCAGAUACCGUCGUAGUCUUAACCAUAAACUAUGCCGACUAGGGAUCGGAUGAUGUUAAUUUUUUAAUGACUCAUUCGGCGCCUUAC